UCCAGGUGGUUUUGUCGUCGUUCAGCUCCGACCCUCCUGUUCUUCAACUGGUGACACUGUUUGGAUUUAAACUAUUUACACACCAGUGAGUCAUUAAACUGAAGCGUGAUGAGUCAGAAUUAGCUUUUGAAUGAGCUCAACUGGUGAGGUGGUCUGUCUGUCUAUCAUGAUGGAGAGAACAGACAGGACUCGCCAGCUCAAGGGAGGAAAUGAGGCUUAGCAGGGGAGCAGUCGCCCUCGCUACAAAGAAUGACACUCUUUAAGUUAUGCACAUCCACUUGGAGGUGCUUGGCUGAGAGCAACAAAUGAAUAAAAAAAAAAAAAAACAGAGAUCCCACGCUCUGUGAAGGCUUACAGAUGUAAGAAAGUAGAAAUCCCACUUUUUUUACAUGCUGCUCGGAUUUUCUUUUCUGCUGCAUAAGACAAAAAAAAGCAAUUAGGAAGUUCUGCUCUCGGCACAUACUAAGAGGUUAUCUAAAUUAGCUUCUAAAUACUUGAUGAUGUUUGUUAGUGCUUCCUUGUGUUUGGUUUUAGCCUGUCUGAUGUAGCAAGUGGACGGGAUUUAACAAAGAAGUCAACUGUUUUAGACAAACUGAUUGAGAUAAAUGUCAUAUAUGAGGAGAUAACUGGUUGAUAAGUUACCUGACAUAUCUUACCUUCAAUUGUUAAAAAAAACCCCUCAACUGUUAGUUACGUCAAGCAGGUUUCAUGUCUGGUUUAAGUGAUACAGGAUUGGUUGUCUGGCUGAAAUAAACAGCUCUGCAAGACCUUUUAGAUGCCUGUGAAUUGUUGUAGGAUUCAAGCAACUAAAACUUUAUUGCUUUCAGGUUAAAGCAUGCAUUUAAAAUGGUUAUAUUCAAUAAUUUAACAUUAACUAUCAGACAUAUAAAGAUUAUCGUCUGACUCUGCAGCUCCCCUCAGCUCUACGGAGCGUUUUAGCACAUUUCAGCUUAUUGUUUUUGUUUUUCUAGCCGGAGACUUUACUGUUUUGUUCACUUUAAGGCAGUGAUUUUUCCUUCUAGUAUUACCCUGUAACUGCUGCUCCAGUACUCCAUCAGAAGUACCGUAAAUAAUAAUCUCUCUCA
Thunnus maccoyii (southern bluefin tuna) is the source of this 1085-nucleotide long non-coding RNA. RefSeq lists it as uncharacterized. The transcript has 2 exons. NCBI's taxonomy places the organism in Eukaryota, Metazoa, Chordata, Actinopteri, Scombriformes, Scombridae. The record is from RefSeq and is a predicted model, not a curated record.